AAUUUGACAGAAGGGCGCUACACGGGUUAAAAUUCACAUUUUUGUCCUUUGACGUUUCAAAAUCUUUUGAUUAAAUUUCCGAACGAAACAUCCUAUCACUCUCUAAUCUAUGGUCCCUACACCCCCCCCUCUUGCCAAACUGUCAAACAAAAGUUUGUUUUGAUUUGGUUGGUGUUGUUUUGUUCGAAUGAAAUUAAUAAGAAUAGUUACUUACAUACAUAUCUCAAAGAAAUAAUCUAUAGCUGAAACAAGUGAUCUUAAAAAUAAUAGUAACAGAAGCCUUGUACAAUAUUGCAACAAUAUCUGAGUUUUCAAUGUGAUACUGUUACGUUAAGUCUAUGCAUAUUUUGCCUGUGUAAAAUAAAGAGAAUCACCAUUCUCUUCUCAUUGCAGCGUAAGAUGUUAAAGUGAUCAAUAAUGAUGUACAACUUGUCCCGGAAAACCAAUAUUUAAUGAAAAUUAAUAAAAUCUUAACAAACCAAAGUAAACUGUUCAUAAUUCCAAAAUAUUUAAUUGAACAUAAAUUGAUUAUUAUCUUUAAAUAAGCCUUCUUAAUAAAUGAGUGUUUUAAAAUU
This is a long non-coding RNA of Ostrinia nubilalis (European corn borer), 575 nucleotides long. RefSeq lists it as uncharacterized. NCBI's taxonomy places the organism in Eukaryota, Metazoa, Arthropoda, Insecta, Lepidoptera, Crambidae. The record is from RefSeq and is a predicted model, not a curated record. The transcript has 2 exons.